CGGCUACAGUUACCUACUUCAUCAGCCAUGGUGACAUCUGAUGAACUAUUAGCCUAGCCCCCGUGGCUAGAAGAGCGACAUCUCAGGUCAAGAGUCAGAAUGGCAAAACUGCUGGAAGUCUCCAGGGACGGAAUAGGAGGAAAGUCCAGGUGAUGGUGUGAUGCUGUUUGACGGACCUAUUGUUAAAUUUGGAUGUGCAGAGCAGCUCUCCAUCAUCAAGAUGAAAUGGCACAUACAAGGUCACCCUCAACCACGUUCUAGAAGCACAAGAAACUUUCAUGAGCAAAUGGCUCCAACUCUCGUGGCCCCUAAUCUUGCUGUAAUGCCACCUCUUCCUGGACCCACACAUAUAAGGGACUACCUUAUGGACAGGGACGAAACAGUUCAAGAGUGAUUUACAAAUGAUUAUGCAUAAUAUACUGGCAAUGGCCAUAAAUAAAUUGAUGCAGCAUUAGAGUUUUCCACACUGUUGGCCAUGAAGGACAAGUAGGAAGAUAAAUCUUCACAAUAAGCAGAACUUUGAGAAGUACAUCUAAUUGUAUAUUUUACCUAGAAAGAAAGAUCAUCAUAGUGAAGAUUUAUACAUAGAGCCUAAAGGUUUGUUUCAAUGAUGAGCAAGUUGGAAGCAACAAGAUUGGAUGACAAGGAGGUUUAGGGUAGAGGUACACGUAUACACCUCUCAAAAUAGGUUCACGCUGUGAGAAUAUUGCGCCUCAUGUGAAUGCUCAGCAAAGAGCUCUCACUACAGAGGAGACUCAAUAAUCAGAUGGGCAGGAAGCUCAGUACUGCAAAUGUCAGCUAUCCUUUCUCCCCAGAAACACGACUAUUCCUCAGUAGGUUCAAAAUCAAAGUGGCCGUGGUGACAGAGAUGGAGGUUAUCCAUGGGCUCAGCCACGAGAACUUGUUACCAAGGCAGAUCCAGCAACCACCUCAAUUGAACGCUUAAAAUGCCAGCAGCAGAAACCCAUGCUGAGCCCUCCAUACAGCUCCAAGUGUGGGGAACAGGGUGGCGUGGCUAGCCUCCUGCUGACUGAUUAUACUGAACCUCUUUCACUGUGGACUUGGUAGCAAUUUUUCUCACUCGAAUAUGUUAUGCAUAUAGAUUUUACUUCCCUGUUAUGCUUCUAUGAGCAAAACUUUCUGUGAACUUACUGAAAGCUUAUUCAGCCCACAGUAAUCCAUAUACUAUUACUUCUGGCCAAGAGUGCUAUAGGAUUCCCACAGGAUUCAUUGGUUUUACCGUAACCCAGGAGGAGCUGGCCUUGUAGAGAAGUGCAAUAGUCUGUUACAAAGACUCACAGAGCCAGCUGGAGGACAUCUUAUGAAGUUGGGGUACUGGCAUAGAGAAAAUGGUGUAUGCUCCAAAUCAAUAACCAAUAUAUGGUGUGUUUCACCCAAGGACAGAUCACAUGGAUCCAGGGAUCAUAGGGAAGAACUGGGAGUAGAACCUCUCAUACUACGCUUCCUCCCCUUACUGAGAGUGCAUUAAGGAAGCUAUAAAUCUAGCCUCAUAAUAGUUGCAAAAAGGGGAGCUGUGGUCAAUAUUUAUAUUCUCUUGCUUUCAUGGUAGUGUAUAUGUUCAUACAGUAAUCUAUUUGUUUUUUCCCCAUCUCUUUUCACCUAUCAUUUUACCUAGGCUGUGUCGGUGGUGAUGAUCUUUAUAGUUUAGUCCGUGAAUAAUAUAUAUGUAGCUUUCGCAAAACUUAUCAAAUGUCAUCUUCUUUUUCUUAUUUAACUGUCUACACAAUAAAUUCUUUCUAGAAUUAAGUUCUAAGAAUGAGUCUGCACUUCCAGAUGAAUUUACACACUUUACUGACUCAUGAGAACAGUACAAUCUAGCAUGUUCCUCUUUCAAACUGGUU
Molecule: non-coding RNA, 1862 nt
Organism: Delphinapterus leucas (beluga whale)
Lineage: Eukaryota; Metazoa; Chordata; Mammalia; Artiodactyla; Monodontidae
Source: RefSeq, a predicted model, not a curated record